UUGAUGAGUCGUGAAAUUACGCGAUAUUCGACGCUAAUUCCUUAAGCUUUUGUGACUCCUUAAGCACUUUUGUUGUUACUUUUUGUGUUUUUAUGUUGUUUUGUAGGAAAAGAUGCCCGGAGAGCAUAAUGGAGCAAAACGGACCAAAACGGACCAAAAUAGAGCAAAAAUAGAACAAAUUCAUACUUUCUGGCACCAUAUGCUACACGCAGAGUAUAGCACAUGAGAAAAUUGUUACCACAUGCUACGGUUUUGGCACCACAUGCGAUUAGCAUGUUGAACAUGCGAAUAGCAUGUGAAAAGAUGUUGUGCAAGAGGGUAUUUUGGUCCGCAUUUUGUUCCCGUUUUUUGGAUGAUAUAAAUACUCUUUUAGGGUUUGUAAUAGAUUAUCUUUGGCAGCUUUUUCAUCAAGUUUGGAGACUAGUUUUUACACCACACUUUGGGGUUGAAGAUUUGAAGAUUUGGUUGAGUAUUUCUUAAACCUUUAAUUCAUUUCUUCAAUUCCUUGCUUUGUAUUGUAUAUCUAAGUGUGUAGCUUUCUAUUCCAUAACUUGAAUCUCGUUUAUGAAAGUAUUCUUGAUUAAAGUUUGGUUUGAAACUCUUGUUGUGCUUAUGUAUUGAAUGAUUCUUAUUGCUAUUGAAGUGGGUCUUUGUUGAUUUAA
Long non-coding RNA from Lycium ferocissimum, 662 nucleotides. RefSeq lists it as uncharacterized. The record is from RefSeq and is a predicted model, not a curated record. NCBI's taxonomy places the organism in Eukaryota, Viridiplantae, Streptophyta, Magnoliopsida, Solanales, Solanaceae. The transcript is spliced from 2 exons.